Molecule: non-coding RNA, 130 nt
Filed under: Aplanochytrium stocchinoi
Lineage: Eukaryota; Bigyra; Thraustochytrida; Thraustochytriidae
Source: RNAcentral
UGUAUAUAAGUACCAAAACAAGGCACUAAAACGCUAAUUUUUAGGUGAUAAAAGAAUACAAGAAAUAUUAUUAUUUUCUUUUUAUGUUUCUGUAUUUUUUUCAAAUAAAAAUAAAAAUAAAGAAAAGAAA